UUAAGUUCAGCGGGUAUCCCUACCUGAUCCGAGGUCAAAGACGGUUGGUCAUCUUCGGUGGGUCGCGCCCCGGAGCCGCCCUCGAGAAGCGCAAUGUGCUGCGCGAGAGGGGGCAAGGGACGCUGCCAAUGGAUUUGGGGCGAGUCCGCGCGCCGAGGCGGGACAGACGCCCAACACCAAGCAGAGCUUGAGGGUGUAGA
RNAcentral lists this unclassified non-coding RNA (200 nucleotides) under Pleosporales sp. RNAcentral's name for it is "partial internal transcribed spacer 2". The record is from RNAcentral. Lineage: Eukaryota; Fungi; Ascomycota; Dothideomycetes; Pleosporales.